CUAACAAGGAUUCCCCUAGUAACGGCGAGUGAAGCGGGAUGAGCUCAAAUUUGUAAUCUGGUAGCCUUAAGGUUAUCCGAGUUGUAGUCUCGAGAAGUGUUUUCCGUGUUGGACUGUGUACAAGUCCCUUGGAACAGGGCGUCAUAGAGGGUGAGAAUCCCGUCUUUGACACAGACUACCAAUACUAUGUGAUACACUCUCAAAGAGUCGAGUUGUUUGGGAAUGCAGCUCAAAACGGGUGGUAAAUUCCAUCUAAAGCUAAAUAUAGGCAAAAGACCGAUAGCGAACAAGUACCGUGAGGGAAAGAUGAAAAGCACUUUGGAAAGAGAGUUAAACAGUACGUGAAAUUGUUGAAAGGGAAACGAUUGAAGUCAGUCGCGUCUUCCGAGAUUCAAUCUUGCUUAACGGCUUGGUGUACUUCUCGGAUCAGACGGGCCAGCAUCAAUUUGAAGGGUUGGAAAAAGGCAUUGAUAAUGUGGCACUCUUUCGUGGAGUGUGUUAUAGAUCUCUGUCGCAUACAACACUUUGGAUUGAGGAUCGCAGCACGCUUUUGGGAUUUAUUUCAAAGGUCGGGGUUCGCCCACGUUCACGUGCUUAGGAUGCUGGCGUAAUGGCUUUAAACGA
This 624-nucleotide ribosomal RNA is filed under the name Ramaria circinans var. anceps. RNAcentral's name for it is "eukaryotic LSU rRNA". It matches the Rfam family "Eukaryotic large subunit ribosomal RNA", at positions 65 to 647 of the family's 3401-position model. Lineage: Eukaryota; Fungi; Basidiomycota; Agaricomycetes; Gomphales; Gomphaceae. The record is from RNAcentral.